This 407-nucleotide ribosomal RNA is filed under the name uncultured bacterium. RNAcentral describes it as "partial 16S ribosomal RNA". It matches the Rfam family "Bacterial small subunit ribosomal RNA", at positions 30 to 526 of the family's 1533-position model. The record is from RNAcentral.
AUUGAACGCUAGCGGGAUGCUUUACACAUGCAAGUCGAACGGAGUGGCGGACGGGUGAGUAAUAUAUCGGAACGUGCCCCGUAGCGGGGGAUAACUACUCGAAAGGGUGGCUACUACCGCAUACUAUUAGAUCUGCCCAUAUGGGAUUAGCUAGUGGGUGGGGUAAAGGCUCACCAAGGCAACGAUCCCUAGCUGGUUUGAGAGGACGACCAGCCCAACUGGGACGGAGAAACGGCCCAGACGCCUACGGGAGGCAGCAGUGGGGAAUUUUGGACAAUGGGGGAAACCCUGAUGCAGCCAUCCCGCGUGUAUGAUGAAGGCCUUCGGGUUGUAAAGUACUUUUGGCAGGGAAGCGGUAUCUGCAGAAUAAGCACCGGCUAACUACGUGCCAGCAGCCGCGGUAAUAC